This 424-nucleotide ribosomal RNA is filed under the name Prevotella sp. Its description in RNAcentral is "bacterial SSU rRNA". It matches the Rfam family "Bacterial small subunit ribosomal RNA", at positions 355 to 776 of the family's 1533-position model. The record is from RNAcentral. Lineage: Bacteria; Pseudomonadati; Bacteroidota; Bacteroidia; Bacteroidales; Prevotellaceae.
UGAGGAAUAUUGGUCAAUGGGCGAGAGCCUGAACCAGCCAAGUAGCGUGCAGGAUGACGGCCCUAUGGGUUGUAAACUGCUUUUAUAAGGGAAUAAAGUGGGUCACGUGUGACUUUUUGCAUGUACCUUAUGAAUAAGGACCGGCUAAUUCCGUGCCAGCAGCCGCGGUAAUACGGAAGGUCCGGGCGUUAUCCGGAUUUAUUGGGUUUAAAGGGAGCGUAGGCCGGAGAUUAAGCGUGUUGUGAAAUGUCGGGGCUCAACCUGGGCAUUGCAGCGCGAACUGGCAGACUUGAGUGCACGGGAAGUAGGCGGAAUUCGUCGUGUAGCGGUGAAAUGCUUAGAUAUGACGCAGAACUCCGAUUGCGAAGGCAGCUUUCCAGCGCGCUACUGACGCUGAGGCACGAAAGCGUGGGGAUCGAACAGG